UCUGACAGCCAUGCCAUUUUUAAUGCAAAUAAAUCAAAGCUGAUCUCAGAUGCUCAAGAGGGUUCAGCUUGGUUAGUAUUUGGAAGGGAAACCUCAUGGAAAUACCAAGUGCCAUAU
RNAcentral lists this ribosomal RNA (117 nucleotides) under Phascolarctos cinereus (koala). The record is from RNAcentral. Lineage: Eukaryota; Metazoa; Chordata; Mammalia; Diprotodontia; Phascolarctidae.